AAUGAACGUUGGCGGCGUGGAUUAGGCAUGCAAGUCGAGCGCGAACCCCGCAAGGGGGGAGAGCGGCAAACGGGGUAGGAAGGAGUAGGUGACGUACCCUCCGGACGGGGAUAGCCAGGGGAAACCCUGGGUAAUACCCGAUGACCUCUUUCGGCAUGAUCGCUGAAGGAGCAAAGGUGUGAUUCCACCGGAGGAGCGGCUUACUUAGUAUUAGCUUGUUGGUGAGGUAACGGCUCACCAAGGCUGUGAUGCUUAGGGGAUGUGAGAGCAUGAUCCCCACCACUGGGACUGAGAUACUGCCCAGACACCUACGGGUGGCUGCAGUCGAGAAUCUUCGGCAAUGGGCGCAAGCCUGACCGAGCGACGCCGCGUGUGGGAUGAAGGCCCUUGGGUUGUAAACCACUGUCAGAGGGGAUGAAGUGCCGGAGAGCAAUCUCUCCGGUUUGACAUAGCCUCAGAGGAAGCACGGGCUAAGUUCGUGCCAGCAGCCGCAGUAAAAC
This 500-nucleotide ribosomal RNA is filed under the name uncultured bacterium. RNAcentral's name for it is "bacterial SSU rRNA". It matches the Rfam family "Bacterial small subunit ribosomal RNA", at positions 29 to 526 of the family's 1533-position model. The record is from RNAcentral.